Long non-coding RNA from Metopolophium dirhodum (rose-grain aphid), 736 nucleotides. RefSeq lists it as uncharacterized. Lineage: Eukaryota; Metazoa; Arthropoda; Insecta; Hemiptera; Aphididae. The record is from RefSeq and is a predicted model, not a curated record. The transcript is spliced from 2 exons.
UAAUUUUUAAAUGUAUGCUUACUAUAAUAACUCUAUGCUUUGUUAUUUCUUUUCCGUAACCGGAUGACAAAAUUAAUUAAAUUUUUCUCACAUUAUAGUUUAUAUCAUGACAAAUUAGAUAGGUAUCAUGACAGUUGUACUAGUUUUGCGCAGUAGAUAUGCAUCUCCUUCACCUCCGGCCUAUAUCGUAGUUCUCCACUUCUCAUUGGUUGAUUUUGUUCUUUGUUAUAUAUGUGUGUAUGUAUGAUUGAUAGCCAAUAAGAAAUGGAGAUAAAGGCAAAGUAAAGAGCGAAGGAUGCAUAUCAAAAUACUGUGAUGAUACCUAUCUAAUUUGUCAUGGUUUAUAUAAAGUAAAGUACAUUUUCAGAUAUUCCAAAUAUAAAGAUAAAACACAUUUUAUAAAACAAAAUAUUAGUAACAAAAUUAUUUUCUAAUUUAAAUAAUAAAACCAAAAAGAAAUUUAAAAAAGUGUGUGUAUUACAAACUUACAACUUAGUAUGAAACAACUCUAUAGCUGAUCUUCAUAUUGUAAUAAAAAAAAGAGCAAAUGCCUACAUUCAAACUCUACUUAUAUUUCAAAAUUAAACUCUCGAUUAUACACUUUGAGAAUUAUCCGUGGUCUUCUGAGGAUCCAUCUACAUUCAACAGUACUAAAAAUAGUAUUUAAGUACAAAAUAUGGAUUUUUGAAAAAAUAAAUGUAAGUUAUAUAUAUUAAAAUAUAAUUUUAAAUAAAAA